AAAGACUUCAUUGAAACCCUCUAUGAUUUCAGGCAAUGAACAUCCUCCAGUUAAUCAAUAAUUAAGCAUUACUACUUAGAACAAAGUUUAACUGCAUUUAAUUUGAAUCCUCAAAUAGCAAGUAAAAAUGGACUGAGGAAAUAAUAGACAUAUCUAUAAUAGUGAACUACAAUUCAAACCUAACUUUGGUCAUGUAUGAAGUUCAAUUAUAACAUACUCCAUAAACAUUCAACUAAUAAAGAUGAAUUACAN
Molecule: long non-coding RNA, 252 nt
Filed under: Carica papaya (papaya)
Lineage: Eukaryota; Viridiplantae; Streptophyta; Magnoliopsida; Brassicales; Caricaceae
Description: long non-coding RNA (CPAP_LNC003771)
Source: RNAcentral